This is an RNA transcript of Pseudoliparis swirei, 6116 nucleotides long. It is a transcript of the gene named ATPase phospholipid transporting 11A, with no coding region annotated. Lineage: Eukaryota; Metazoa; Chordata; Actinopteri; Perciformes; Liparidae. The transcript has 34 exons. The record is from RefSeq and is a predicted model, not a curated record.
CGGAGGCAGAGAGGAAGCGACGCUGACUCCUACUCGUUCCCCCCCGGAGUCCGAGGAGGAGCAGCCUGUCUGUGUCUGCAGGAACAAACUCCUCCUGCUUCUCGGGAAGCCUCUCUCAGUCCUCCGGAGGAAGAAGAGAAGGGAGUAAAAGUCAUGGACAAAGGAGGAGAAUUAAAAAUAAGUUUGCAUCAACUCUAGUACAGUCACCCUUUGGGAAAGAAAACCAACUCGGACUCCUCGAGAAGAAAGUGGAACGAGGAACAGGAUGGGGAUGCAUUUCAGCACCCUGCGGACCCUCAUCAGCAGAUAUUGUACUGGUGAGGAGAACUGGGUGGACAGCAGGACGAUAUACAUCGGACACAAGGAGCCUCCUUCGGGAACGGAGGCCUUCAUACAGCAAAGAUUCCCCGACAACCGAAUAGUCUCCUCCAAGUACACAUUUUGGAACUUCGUCCCGAAGAAUAUGUUCGAGCAGUUCAGGAGAGUCGCCAACUUCUACUUUCUCAUCAUAUUUCUGGUUCAGUUGAUCAUCGACACGCCCACCAGUCCCAUCACCAGCGGGCUGCCGCUCUUCUUCGUCAUCACGGUCACCGCCAUCAAACAGGGUUACGAGGAUUGGUUGAGACACAAAGCGGACAACUCUGUCAACCAGUGUCCCGUCCACGUGGUGCAUCACGGGAAAGUAGUCCGCAAGCAGAGUCAGAAGCUCCGGGUCGGAGACGUCGUCUUCAUGAAGGAAAACGAGACUUUCCCCUGCGACCUCAUCCUUCUGUCUUCAUCUCGAGAAGACGGCACCUGCUUCGUCACUACAGCCAGUCUGGACGGAGAGAGCAGCCACAAGACGUACCACGCGAUCCAGGACACUAAAGCUUACACCACUGAGGUGGAGGUGGACUCCAUCCACGCGACGAUAGAAUGUGAACAACCGCAGCCGGACCUGUACAAAUUUGUGGGCCGUAUCAACGUCUACAUGGACAACGAGCCGGUGGCCAGGCCGUUGGGAUCAGAGAACCUGCUGCUCAGAGGGGCCACGCUCAAGAACACCGAUUACAUCUAUGCGGUUGCCAUCUACACCGGUAUGGAAACCAAGAUGGCGCUCAACUACCAGACCAAGACCCAGAAACGGUCUGCAGUGGAAAAGUCGAUGAACGCCUAUCUGGUGGUCUACCUGUGCAUCCUCAUCAGCAAGGCGCUCAUCAACACGGUGCUGAAGUACGCGUGGCAGGCCGACACCAACCAAGACGAGCCGUGGUACAGCGACAGGACGGAGCCGGAGAGGCAGAGACACGUCGUGGUCCGGGCCUUCACAGACUUCCUGGCCUUCAUGGUGCUGUUCAACUACAUCAUCCCGGUCUCCAUGUACGUCACCGUGGAGAUGCAGAAGUUCCUGGGCUCCUAUUUCAUCAUGUGGGACGACGAGAUGUUCGACGAGGAGAUGGGCGAGCGGGCCGUGGUCAACACGUCGGACCUGAACGAGGAGCUGGGGCAGGUGGAGUACGUGUUCACGGACAAGACGGGGACUCUGACGGAGAACAACAUGGAGUUCAUCGAGUGCUGCGUGGACGGACACAUCUACGUACCUGAUGUGAUCUGUAACGGGCAGGUGAUGCCUGGUGCAACAAGUAUGGACAUGAUUGACACAUCGCCAGGUCCUGGGGCCAGGGAGCACGAGGAGCUGUUUUUCCGGGCGCUGUGUCUGUGCCACACGGUGCAGGUGAAGGAGGAGGAGACGGUGGACGGGAUCAAGCACGGCAUCCACCAGGGCAAGUCCACCUCCUUCUACAUCUCCUCCUCUCCGGACGAGGUGGCGCUGGUGGAGGGCAUGAAGAGACUCGGCUUCACUUAUCUCCGACUGAAAGACAGUCACAUGGAGAUCUUGAACAGGGAGGAUGAGAUUGAGAGGUUUCAGCUGCUGGAGGUUUUGACGUUUGACUCCGUCAGACGGAGGAUGAGCGUCAUCGUCAGGUCCAGCACAGGUGAGCUCUAUCUGUUCUGUAAAGGUGCGGACUCCGCCAUCUUCCCCAGGGUCGUAUCGGGCAAGGUGGAGCAGAUCAAAGCUCGGGUGGAGCACAACGCAGUGGAGGGUCUGAGGACACUCUGCGUCGCCUAUCGGCCUCUGAGUCCCGCGCAGUACCAGGAGGUUUGCCACCUGCUGAACGGGGCCAAGCUGGCCCUGCACGACCGAGACAAGCGACUGGCCGAGGCGUACGACGUCAUCGAGAAAGACCUCAUCCUGCUGGGAGCCACCGCCGUGGAGGACAGGUGGAGGAUCUCUGCUUCAGUCUGUUCUAACGGCACGCCAUCACGCCGACGCUCUCUCUCUCUCUCUCUCUGUGUGUGUUUCCCCAGGCUCCAGGAGAAAGCGGCAGACACCAUCGAGUCCCUCCACAAGGCGGGCAUGAAGGUGUGGGUGCUGACCGGCGAUAAGAUGGAGACGGCGGUCGCCACGUGCUACGCCAGCAAGCUGUUUCACCGCAACACGCAGAUCCUGGAGCUGACCACCAAGCGCACCGAGGAGCAGAGCCUCCACGACGUCCUGUUUGACCUGAGCAGGGCGGUGCUGAGGCAGCUCGGAGGCAUGACCCGGGACUCCUUCUCUGGUUUGUCGGGCGACUGCACCGACUACGGUCUGAUCAUCGACGGAGCCACCCUCUCCGCCGUGAUGAGGCCCGCCCAGGAGGACUCCAACUCGGGGAACUACAAAGAGAUCUUCCUGGAAAUCUGCCGCAACUGCAGCGCCGUGCUCUGCUGUCGGAUGGCGCCGCUGCAGAAAGCCCAGAUCGUGAAGCUGAUCAAAGCCUCCAAGGAGCACCCGAUCACGCUGGCCAUCGGAGACGGAGCGAACGACGUCAGCAUGAUCCUGGAGGCCCACGUCGGCAUCGGCAUCAUGGGUAAGGAGGGUCGUCAGGCAGCGAGGAACAGCGACUAUGCCAUCCCCAAGUUCAAACACCUCAAGAAGAUGCUCCUCGUCCACGGACACUAUUACUACAUCCGCAUCUCUGAACUCGUGCAAUACUUCUUCUACAAGAACGUCUGUUUCAUCUUCCCCCAGUUCCUCUACCAGUUCUUCUGUGGCUUCUCACAACAGCCGCUGUACGACACGGCCUACUUGACCCUGUACAACAUCAGCUUCACCUCGCUGCCCAUCCUGCUCCACAGCCUCAUCGAGCAGCACAUCCACAUGGACAUCCUGAGGAAGGACCCGUCUCUCUACAGAGACAUCGCGAAGAACUCGUUGCUGCGCUGGCCCAUCUUCAUAUACUGGACCGUCCUGGGUGUGUACGACGCCAUUGUGAUGUUCUUCGGGGUCUACUUCCUGUUUGACAACACCACCUUCACCAGCAACGGACAGCUAAUGACAGCCAACACACAGAUGAUGUUUGGCAACUGGACGUUUGGGACGCUGGUCUUCACCGUGCUGGUCUUCACCGUAACCUUCAAGUUGGCUCUAGAUACUCAUUACUGGACCUGGAUCAACCAUUUUGUCAUCUGGGGCUCACUGGUGUUCUUUCUGGUCUUCUCUUUGCUGUGGGGAGGAAUCAUCUGGCCCUUCCUCAACUACCAGAGGAUGUACUACGUGUUCAUGCAGAUGUUGUCCAGCGGUCCGGCGUGGCUCAGCAUCAUCCUUCUGAUAGCAGCCAGUCUGCUGCCGGAUGUGUUGAAGAAGGUCGUCUGCAGGACGCUGUGGCCCACGACGACUGAGCGCAUACAGAUGUACGCUGGCUUUGGCUACGUCCCUACUCUGAUGGAUAACGCUGAUAAACUCUACAAGGGCCAGCUGUCAGAGUUCACCCCCAUGGCGUCCCUCCACGCCCCGUCCAAGGCCGGCAGGCCCCGGCGAGGCUCGGGCAGCCAAAGGAACGCCCCAAACCCUCGAAGGUCUGCACCCUUUCACAAGAAACUCAUGUUCACGCGCUGGCGAAGAACGCCAGACUACCGCACCUUCGCCCCCCUCCUCGGAUUCGCCGACGGCUCCCGCCACUCGACGCAGGGGCGCGCCUACGGCGGGACGGGGCCGGGGACCUCAGUCUAGUUUAUUUCUGUUUUUUUUCUCUAUUCUCAUACUCUGAUAUCGGAUACAAUAGCAUCCGUUCGGAGUUGAACUCGACAAAGGAGCAAUAGAACUAAUCGGCCCAGAAGCUAAAGAGUACAAAAAGUGACAAUAAUAACUAAUUUAUUUAUGUUCCUGGAGUCGAGUUACGGACUAUGAUGCGAAUAGCAGGUAAUCCAUCUCUAAGUGGGUCACAAUGAAAGUGACCUUCACAACUGCUCCCACGUCAGCAGCGGAGUAUGGCACAAAGCAUUCUGGGACGGCUCCGGGAUGGACUCCAACAGCAUACCGUUGUCACAAGAAAACAGACUCAAGAGCUUUGAUUUCUGAAAUCACUGAAAUAUGUGUAUAUGUGCACUGGCCCUUUAAGGCUGCCUGCCUGAUAGCUGGCAGCUGAAGUGUACUUUACUCCAAUUUAACACACUUCUAUGACAAUUCCGAUGUUUUGUGAUUGUGCUGCUGACGGUAACAGUGCUUUAGCCAGCUCCAGCUUUCUCUGAUCGAACAUGUCAUUCUCUCCAUCCCUUCCAUCUCUAUCUUUCUCGUUCUGCCUCUUUCCAGGACCAACUGGUGUUGCCUGUGUGCAAACACGUGUUCCCGGAACACUCCCUAGGACUCUCUACAACAUUCUGUCUCUCUCUCGCUCGCUCUCCAUCUCUCUCUCUCUCUCAUUCUCCCUGUGGGGAAGUGAUGCUGAUGUGGGAGUUCUCCUACCUCUGUGAGAGCCGCCUCCACCCGCCCGGCCAUCAAGUCUGCAUCUUCUCGUCCAUCCAUCCAUCCAUCCGUCAGUCCUCCGAACGAGGGAAAUUGUGCCGAAACUUUAUUCCAUCUGUCGUCCCGUCUCAUCACUCCUCUGUCACUCUCAUCACUGUCCCGACGCACGAUGGAAUCAACCGGCACACAAAACAAGACAGUCUGAGGCUUACAGACUUCUAGUUGGCUGAAAGCUUAAGGGGCUCACCUGGAGGACACGAGAACAUUAUCCCACACUGGCUUCUCUGUUCACUCGAGGCCACCGCUCGAUUCUCCAUUCCACACGGCCGCUUGUGCUUUCAGAGGCCGCAUAUUUUUGAGAAUGAGACAUUUCAUUCCGAGUCUCACUUCGCAGAUCGAAUGGACACGAUGUUAUACAAACGGUACCCAGAAAUCUCAAACGCUAUCUCGUCUCUGACCGGGAAUACGCAAGACUAACGAGCGUGAGUCGCAAAUCUAUCACACGGCCAUUUUAAUGUGAACAUCGAUCUGACUUCAUUCAUCCGGCCCCUGGGGGUUAAGUGAGGUGUCAUUUAACAGACGGGAGGUGAUGGCCUGUUCCCUUGGUGGAGGCUAAAUGUGGAACAUCCCGCUGCUGACUGUCUCCUCUUACAAGUGCAGAAACAAACUAAUCUGAUUAGCGCGUUUCCCCCCUUCUCAAUGCGGUACGCAGUCCAGGUGCCGGUGGCUCGAAACUGACGGGUUUUUUUCCCUGACGUUCUUCCAAAGCAGCGCCGCUCGCUACGAACUCAUUCCCUUCUUUUUCUCACAAUUAGUGAUUUAAUACUGCCACGGAGAGACGACAUCUUCCCGCUCGCUCUUCUCGAUGCCGAGGGGAAAAAAAAAACUCUCCGUCUCACGACCUCCCGGGUUUAUCUCGUGUCCCUUGGCAACCGCUGGACUUAAAGCAGUGCAAAGUGCAGUUAAAAGUAGCUCCACCUCCAUCACUAUUAAUGUCAUUUAUCAAAUCGGUUACUUCAAUAGGAUUUUAGAUGCAGGACUUUUUCUUGCAGUGGAGUAAGUGUACAUGAUGGUUGUGGUACUUUUACUGAAGACGAGGAUGUGAGUACUUCUUCCUCACUGUUUAACAAAUAAUAAUUAUGAACCUUCUUUUUGCGCUGUACGUCUUCCUCUCCAGUCCUCUGUACUCUCACCCUCCCUCCCUCUUGUCUACCAAUCAGGUUGAUUGAUUUUAAUGCUUCCUCUUAUCGAGCGGAGCAGCCGUUGUCAAUAAAUGUUGUCCGUCUCUGCUCACACACACACACACACACACACACACACACACCGCAGGGCGAGCGGUAGAACUGUCUUC